GGUCCUUGGUUUCCAAAUGAGAUACAAAAGCUGGUCUCAUCAGAAAAGAGAUUUGGGGAGCCAUCGCAGAAGAGCUGAAGGCUGCUAUUGAAGCUUCCUGGUCUUCCAUAACACCUCAGCAGUGCCACAGGCUGAUAGCAUCCAUGCCACGCCGCAUUGAGGCA
This is a long non-coding RNA of Podarcis raffonei (Aeolian wall lizard), 164 nucleotides long. RefSeq lists it as uncharacterized. Lineage: Eukaryota; Metazoa; Chordata; Lepidosauria; Squamata; Lacertidae. The record is from RefSeq and is a predicted model, not a curated record. The transcript has 2 exons.